Molecule: long non-coding RNA, 935 nt
Organism: Argiope bruennichi
Lineage: Eukaryota; Metazoa; Arthropoda; Arachnida; Araneae; Araneidae
Exons: 2
Source: RefSeq, a predicted model, not a curated record
ACAUGGUCUGGUCGAUUUCUAGAGAGUGUCAAAUUCAUGAGCGAUGCGAUGUGACAUCACAAUAAUACUAGAGAAAGCGCUAAACUAAUGAUGCAAGAACUUGGUCGAUGUUAUAUGGAGAUACACGAGCCGACAUAUAUUUUUAAAUGACAAGGACGCGCGUUAAUGCUUGAAUUGGUUUCGUUCUUAAAAAUAUAAUUGAUAAGUUUUGAACUGAUUGUAACAUAUAGCAAAUCGAUUGUUGAUUCGCAUUUAUACUGAAAUCGUAAAUCAUAGUGUUUGUUUAUUGUUUUGCUUAAUCUUCGUGAUUUUGCUUUAUUAUUCAUAACCCGGAAAAGAUUGAAUAAUUGGCUAAAAUGAGUUGCGGUAUAGUACCCUGGGCUUCUGUAUUAUGCGAAUUAAUGACUCCUGAUCCUUGUUACUCGAAGGCGUUAGAUAUGCAGCGAUGUUUAAAAGCAAAUCGAUAUCGGGAAGGAGUUUGCUUUAGUUCAAUGUCGGUGAUGGAGAAAUGUUGCAAUCGAUGGAAGGAUAGAUCUGCUUGUUGCGUGUUGUAUGAAAAAUCAAGGCCACCAAGUAAAGUACAAACUCAGGCACAACAUAAUGAUACAGAAAGAGAUCAUUUUAUACUAUCUGAACUUUUUAUUAGUCACUGAAACCAGCUCAAAUAUUAUCUUAAAUGUGAACUGUGAUAGCUUCACUGUUUCCCCACCAUUGAGCUUUGAGAAUUAUAUUUGUUCCUAAGUUAUCCGCAUCACUCAUUUAUAUAUUUAAGUAUGUUAUAUCAUUUGUUAAGGUAUACUUUUUGCAAUACUCAGUAUGCAGUGUUAAGUAUUUAAGUAGCGUAUUUUAUUUUGGUUUGUUUUUCUUUCGAAUGAUAGUUUUUUAGUUUUGUUUUCAAAAAUCAGUGGAUUAAUAAAGUUUCAUUUUAUCAUUUG